RNAcentral lists this ribosomal RNA (389 nucleotides) under Placochela nigripes. RNAcentral describes it as "partial 12S ribosomal RNA". Lineage: Eukaryota; Metazoa; Arthropoda; Insecta; Diptera; Cecidomyiidae. The record is from RNAcentral.
UAUUAUAAAUAAUUUAUUUAUUUUAUUUUGAUUAUUAUUUUUAAAUUAAUAAAAUUAAAUAAUUUGGUAGUAUUUAUAAAAAUUAGAGGAUUUUGUUAAUUAAUUGAUAAUCCACAAUAAAAUUUAUUUAAAUUAAAAUUAAAUUAUAUAUUGUUGUAUUAAAAUUAUUUAUAAAUAAAAUUUUUAUAAAAAUUCAACUUUAAAUUUCAAAUCAUAAUAUAUUAAAUAUUUAAAAUUAUAAUGAAAUACUAUAUUUAUAAAUUUAUGAAAUUUUAUUUGUUAUAUUAAUAUUAAAUUGGAUUUAAAAUUAAAAUAAAAUAAAUAUUUUAUUUAAAUUAAAUUUUAAAUAUGCACAUAUUGCCCGUCGUUUUUAAUUUUUAUUAAAAUAA